UCUCCUUCACUCUGUUGGUUUCUUAAUUCAACAUCGAGGUCAUAAGCUCUCCUUUCAAUAAGGACUUUAGGGAGAAUUAUGCUGUUACCCCCGAAGUAAUUUGUUCUUGCCCUCCGUUAUAGGGCCCUACUUUUCAGAUAUUUGUUUGUAUAAAUUUAGAUUUUAUAAUUUUUUAAAUCCGCCGUCCCAGCUAACUUUUUAUUUAUUUUAUCCUUUUUUUAUUUAACGUAGUUUAAUUUUACGGGGUCUUAUCGUCCCUGAGGUUUUCUAAGAGUUUAGACCUAGUUCUUAAUUUCGAGUUAUUAUAAGAACAGUUGCCUGCCAUUCAACCCUUUAUACAAGCUUUUAAUUAAAAAGCAAACUACUAUGCUACCUUAGUAUAGUCAGAGUACUAUAGCCCUUUAUUUAUUCCAGUGGGCAGGUUAGACCUAGUGUAUCAUUCUCUGGGACAUGUUU
RNAcentral lists this ribosomal RNA (456 nucleotides) under Campylaspis undata. RNAcentral's name for it is "partial large subunit ribosomal RNA". The record is from RNAcentral. Lineage: Eukaryota; Metazoa; Arthropoda; Malacostraca; Cumacea; Nannastacidae.